UUAAGCGACUAAGCGUACACGGUGGAUGCCCUGGCAGUCAGAGGCGAUGAAGGACGUGCUAAUCUGCGAUAAGCGCCGGUAAGGUGAUAUGAACCGUUAUAACCGGCGAUUUCCGAAUGGGGAAACCCAGUGUGAUUCGUCACACUAUCAUUAACUGAAUCCAUAGGUUAAUGAGGCGAACCGGGGGAACUGAAACAUCUAAGUACCCCGAGGAAAAGAAAUCAACCGAGAUUCCCCCAGUAGCGGCGAGCGAACGGGGAGGAGCCCAGAGCCUGAAUCAGCAUGUGUGUUAGUGGAAGCGUCUGGAAAGGUGCGCGAUACAGGGUGACAGCCCCGUACACAAAAGCGCAUGUGCUGUGAGCUCGAUGAGUAGGGCGGGACACGUGGUAUCCUGUCUGAAUAUGGGGGGACCAUCCUCCAAGGCUAAAUACUCCUGACUGACCGAUAGUGAACCAGUACCGUGAGGGAAAGGCGAAAAGAACCCCGGCGAGGGGAGUGAAAAAGAACCUGAAACCGUGUACGUACAAGCAGUGGGAGCACAGGUUUACCUGUGUGACUGCGUACCUUUUGUAUAAUGGGUCAGCGACUUAUAUUCUGUAGCAAGGUUAACCGUAUAGGGGAGCCGUAGGGAAACCGAGUCUUAACCGGGCGUUAAGUUGCAGGGUAUAGACCCGAAACCCGGUGAUCUAGCCAUGGGCAGGUUGAAGGUUGGGUAACACUAACUGGAGGACCGAACCGACUAAUGUUGAAAAAUUAGCGGAUGACCUGUGGCUGGGGGUGAAAGGCCAAUCAAACCGGGAGAUAGCUGGUUCUCCCCGAAAGCUAUUUAGGUAGCGCCUCGUGAAUUCAUCUCCGGGGGUAGAGCACUGUUUCGGCUAGGGGGCCAUCCCGGCUUACCAACCCGAUGCAAACUGCGAAUACCGGAGAAUGUUAUCACGGGAGACACACGGCGGGUGCUAACGUCCGUCGUGAAGAGGGAAACAACCCAGACCGCCAGCUAAGGUCCCAAAGUCAUGGUUAAGUGGGAAACGAUGUGGGAAGGCCCAGACAGCCAGGAUGUUGGCUUAGAAGCAGCCAUCAUUUAAAGAAAGCGUAAUAGCUCACUGGUCGAGUCGGCCUGCGCGGAAGAUGUAACGGGGCUAAACCAUGCACCGAAGCUGCGGCAGCGAACGUAUCACCCAAGACAACUUUACGGAGUUGACGAUUGACGGAGCGAAGCGACGUCAAAGCGUUCAUUAAAGUCGAGUUGGCUUAGGGAUACGUUCGUUGGGUAGGGGAGCGUUCUGUAAGCCUGUGAAGGUGUGUCGUGAGGCAUGCUGGAGGUAUCAGAAGUGCGAAUGCUGACAUAAGUAACGAUAAAGCGGGUGAAAAGCCCGCUCGCCGGAAGACCAAGGGUUCCUGUCCAACGUUAAUCGGGGCAGGGUGAGUCGACCCCUAAGGCGAGGCCGAAAGGCGUAGUCGAUGGGAAACGGGUUAAUAUUCCCGUACUUGGUGUUACUGCGAAGGGGGGACGGAGAAGGCUAUGUUGGCCGGGCGACGGUUGUCCCGGUUUAAGCGUGUAGGUGUGUGUUCCAGGUAAAUCCGGUUCACUUUAACACUGAGGCGUGACGACGAGGCACUACGGUGCUGAAGCAACAAAUGCCCUGCUUCCAGGAAAAGCCUCUAAGCAUCAGGUAACACGAAAUCGUACCCCAAACCGACACAGGUGGUCAGGUAGAGAAUACCAAGGCGCUUGAGAGAACUCGGGUGAAGGAACUAGGCAAAAUGGUGCCGUAACUUCGGGAGAAGGCACGCUGACACGUAGGUGAAGUGAUUUACUCAUGGAGCUGAAGUCAGUCGAAGAUACCAGCUGGCUGCAACUGUUUAUUAAAAACACAGCACUGUGCAAACACGAAAGUGGACGUAUACGGUGUGACGCCUGCCCGGUGCCGGAAGGUUAAUUGAUGGGGUCAGCGCAAGCGAAGCUCCUGAUCGAAGCCCCGGUAAACGGCGGCCGUAACUAUAACGGUCCUAAGGUAGCGAAAUUCCUUGUCGGGUAAGUUCCGACCUGCACGAAUGGCGUAAUGAUGGCCAGGCUGUCUCCACCCGAGACUCAGUGAAAUUGAACUCGCUGUGAAGAUGCAGUGUACCCGCGGCAAGACGGAAAGACCCCGUGAACCUUUACUAUAGCUUGACACUGAACAUUGAGCCUUGAUGUGUAGGAUAGGUGGGAGGCUUUGAAGUGUGGACGCCAGUCUGCAUGGAGCCGACCUUGAAAUACCACCCUUUAAUGUUUGAUGUUCUAACGUGGACCCGUAAUCCGGGUUGCGGACAGUGUCUGGUGGGUAGUUUGACUGGGGCGGUCUCCUCCUAAAGAGUAACGGAGGAGCACGAAGGUUGGCUAAUCCUGGUCGGACAUCAGGAGGUUAGUGCAAUGGCAUAAGCCAGCUUGACUGCGAGCGUGACGGCGCGAGCAGGUGCGAAAGCAGGUCAUAGUGAUCCGGUGGUUCUGAAUGGAAGGGCCAUCGCUCAACGGAUAAAAGGUACUCCGGGGAUAACAGGCUGAUACCGCCCAAGAGUUCAUAUCGACGGCGGUGUUUGGCACCUCGAUGUCGGCUCAUCACAUCCUGGGGCUGAAGUAGGUCCCAAGGGUAUGGCUGUUCGCCAUUUAAAGUGGUACGCGAGCUGGGUUUAGAACGUCGUGAGACAGUUCGGUCCCUAUCUGCCGUGGGCGCUGGAGAACUGAGGGGGGCUGCUCCUAGUACGAGAGGACCGGAGUGGACGCAUCACUGGUGUUCGGGUUGUCAUGCCAAUGGCACUGCCCGGUAGCUAAAUGCGGAAGAGAUAAGUGCUGAAAGCAUCUAAGCACGAAACUUGCCCCGAGAUGAGUUCUCCCUGAGACUUAGAGUCUCCUGAAGGAACGUUGAAGACGACGACGUUGAUAGGCCGGGUGUGUAAGCGCAGCGAUGCGUUGAGCUAACCGGUACUAAUGAACCGUGAGGCUUAACCUU
Molecule: ribosomal RNA, 2990 nt
Filed under: Salmonella enterica subsp. enterica serovar Typhimurium var. 5-
Lineage: Bacteria; Pseudomonadati; Pseudomonadota; Gammaproteobacteria; Enterobacterales; Enterobacteriaceae
Description: bacterial LSU rRNA
Rfam family: Bacterial large subunit ribosomal RNA
Source: RNAcentral